UACGUAGGUGGCAAGCGUUGUCCGGAAUUACUGGGCGUAAAGCGUGCGUAGGUGGUUUGUUAAGUCUGUUGUGAAAGCCCCGGGCUCAACCUGGGAAUGGCAAUGGAUACUGGCAGGCUAGAGUGCGGUAGAGGGUAGUGGAAUUCCCGGUGUAGCGGUGAAAUGCGUAGAGAUCGGGAGGAACACCAGUGGCGAAGGCGGCUACCUGGACCAGCACUGACACUGAGGCACGAAAGCGUGGGGAGCAAACAGGG
This 254-nucleotide ribosomal RNA is filed under the name uncultured bacterium. RNAcentral describes it as "partial 16S ribosomal RNA". It matches the Rfam family "Bacterial small subunit ribosomal RNA", at positions 524 to 777 of the family's 1533-position model. The record is from RNAcentral.